CACUUGUUGCCUCGGCGGAUCAGCCCGCUCCCGGUAAAACGGGACGGCCCGCCAGAGGACCCCUAAACUCUGUUUCUAUAUGUAACUUCUGAGUAAAACCAUAAAUAAAUCAAAACUUUCAACAACGGAUCUCUUGGUUCUGGCAUCGAUGAAGAACGCAGCAAAAUGCGAUAAGUAAUGUGAAUUGCAGAAUUCAGUGAAUCAUCGAAUCUUUGAACGCACAUUGCGCCCGCCAGUAUUCUGGCGGGCAUGCCUGUUCGAGCGUCAUUUCAACCCUCAAGCACAGCUUGGUGUUGGGACUCGCGUUAAUUCGCGUUCCCCAAAUUGAUUGGCGGUCACGUCGAGCUUCCAUAGCGUAGUAGUAAAACCCUCGUUACUGGUAAUCGUCGCGGCCACGCCGUUAAACCCCAACUUCUGAAUGUUGACCUCGGAUCAGGUAGGAAUACCCGCUGAACUUAAGCAUAUC
RNAcentral lists this unclassified non-coding RNA (466 nucleotides) under Fusarium oxysporum f. sp. phaseoli. Its description in RNAcentral is "partial contains ITS1, 5.8S rRNA and ITS2". The stretch from base 114 to 267 matches the Rfam family "5.8S ribosomal RNA". Lineage: Eukaryota; Fungi; Ascomycota; Sordariomycetes; Hypocreales; Nectriaceae. The record is from RNAcentral.